Molecule: long non-coding RNA, 351 nt
Filed under: Hordeum vulgare
Lineage: Eukaryota; Viridiplantae; Streptophyta; Magnoliopsida; Poales; Poaceae
Description: long non-coding RNA (HVUL_LNC001251)
Source: RNAcentral
CGACUACUACCAUCUCGUGUGAUCAAAUCUUGGAUGUGAUGAAUGGAGAUGCCCCAAACAACAUAACAAAAGUCGAAAACCUCACCUCCGGAAGGGAUCCGUAGGGGGAAUCAACAAAAGAACACCACUACUUCAUAGCCUCGAUCAACAAAAGGGCUCUUUUUUAUUCCCUGAUUCGAUUUGAUUUCGCUGCCGAUGACAACUGAUCUAAAUAUCUCCAGCGGCUGGUGGUAGCCGUGCUUGUGCUGCUAAUAGAUAUCCUCGUGGGAUUUACUCCAUACGUGGAAUAUUUUUGUUGUUGUUGUUGUUGUUGUUGUUGUUGUUGUUUUCACCACGUGUGCUGCUUGAAAU